RNAcentral lists this ribosomal RNA (252 nucleotides) under uncultured bacterium. Its description in RNAcentral is "partial 16S ribosomal RNA". It matches the Rfam family "Bacterial small subunit ribosomal RNA", at positions 524 to 776 of the family's 1533-position model. The record is from RNAcentral.
CACGUAGGGGGCUAGCGUUAUCCGGAUUUAUUGGGUUUAAAGGGUGCGCAGGCGGAGGCACAAGUCAGCGGUAAAAUCGCGGGGCUCAACCCCGCUCCGCCGUUGAAACUGUGUCCCUUGAGUGCGCGAAGGGUAGGCGGAAUGCGUGGUGUAGCGGUGAAAUGCAUAGAUAUCACGCAGAACUCCGAUCGCGAAGGCAGCCUACCGGCGCGCAACUGACGCUCAUGCACGAAAGCGUGGGUAUCGAACAGG